Molecule: ribosomal RNA, 440 nt
Filed under: uncultured bacterium
Lineage: Bacteria
Description: partial 16S ribosomal RNA
Rfam family: Bacterial small subunit ribosomal RNA
Source: RNAcentral
CCUACGGGAGGCAGCAGUGGGGAAUAUUGCACAAUGGGGGAAACCCUGAUGUAGCGACGUCGCGUGAGUGAAGAAGUAACUCGUUAUGUAAAGCCCUAUCAGCAGGGAAGAAACUGACGGUACUUGAGUAAGACGCCCCGGCUAAAUACGUGCCAGCAGCCGCGGUAAUACGUAGGGGGCCAGCGUUAUCCGGAUUUACUGGGUGUAAAGGGAGCGGAGACGGCAGUGCAAGUCUGGAGGGAAAGGCGGGGGCUCAACCCCCGGACUGCUCUGGAAACUGGACGGCUGGAGUGCAGGAGAGGUAAGUGGAAUUCCUGGUGUAGCGGUGAAAUGCGUAGAUAUUAGGAGGAACACCAGUGGCGAAGGCGGCUUACUGGACUGUAACUGACGUUGAGGCUCGAAGGCGUGGGGAUCAAACAGGAUUAGAUACCCCAGUAGUC